This 207-nucleotide ribosomal RNA is filed under the name uncultured bacterium. RNAcentral's name for it is "partial 16S ribosomal RNA". It matches the Rfam family "Bacterial small subunit ribosomal RNA", at positions 568 to 774 of the family's 1533-position model. The record is from RNAcentral.
CAUGUAGGCGGUUUUGUAAGCCUGGUGUGAAAUCCUGCAGCUUAACUGUAGAAUUGCAUCGGGUACUGCGAGACUUGAAUCACAGAGGGGAAACUAGAAUUCCAGGUGUAGGGGUGGAAUCUGUAGAUAUCUGGAAGAAUACCGGUGGCGAAGGCGGGUUUCUAGCUGAUGAUUGACGCUGAGGUGCGAAAGUGCGGGGAGCAAACA